UACGUAGGCAGCGAGCGUUGUUCGGAAUUACUGGGCGUAAAGAGUGUGUAGGCGGUGCUCUAAGUUCGGUGUGAAAUCUCCUGCUUAACUGGGAGGGUGCGCCGGAAACUGGAGUGCUCGAGCGUGGGAGAGGAAAGCGGAAUUCCUGGUGUAGCGGUGAAAUGCGUAGAUAUCAGGAGGAACACCUGUGGUGUAGACGCUUUCUGGACCAUAGCUGACGCUGAGACACGAAAGCGUGGGUAGCAAACAGG
Molecule: ribosomal RNA, 251 nt
Filed under: uncultured bacterium
Lineage: Bacteria
Description: partial 16S ribosomal RNA
Rfam family: Bacterial small subunit ribosomal RNA
Source: RNAcentral